CGGGGCGUAGCUCAGCCUGGCAGAGCGUCUGACUGGGGGUCAGAAGGUCGUAGGUUCGAAUCCUGUCGCCCCGACCA
Molecule: transfer RNA, 77 nt
Filed under: Planctomycetota bacterium
Lineage: Bacteria; Pseudomonadati; Planctomycetota
Description: Planctomycetes bacterium tRNA-Pro
Rfam family: tRNA
About the family: Transfer RNA (tRNA) molecules are approximately 80 nucleotides in length. Their secondary structure includes four short double-helical elements and three loops (D, anti-codon, and T loops).
Source: RNAcentral